This 66-nucleotide transfer RNA is filed under the name Equus caballus (horse). Its description in RNAcentral is "transfer RNA-Pro". Lineage: Eukaryota; Metazoa; Chordata; Mammalia; Perissodactyla; Equidae. The record is from RNAcentral.
AACGUUUUCCCCCUUUUCUGGUUUACAAGACCAGGGUAAUGUGCGACGCAAACUACCCUGGUCUUG